RNAcentral lists this signal recognition particle RNA (108 nucleotides) under Francisella tularensis subsp. holarctica LVS. Its description in RNAcentral is "SRP RNA; RNA component of signal recognition particle". The stretch from base 5 to 101 matches the Rfam family "Bacterial small signal recognition particle RNA". From Rfam's summary of the family: The signal recognition particle (SRP) is a universally conserved ribonucleoprotein involved in the co-translational targeting of proteins to membranes. Lineage: Bacteria; Pseudomonadati; Pseudomonadota; Gammaproteobacteria; Thiotrichales; Francisellaceae. The record is from RNAcentral.
GCUGACUUGGUUUCCACGCAAUGAUAGAUUGUCAACCCCGCCAGGUCUGGAAGGAAGCAACGGUAACUUUUGAUUCAUGUGCCGUGUCAAGGCUAAGUCAGCACUUCA